Molecule: signal recognition particle RNA, 307 nt
Filed under: Aotus nancymaae (Ma's night monkey)
Lineage: Eukaryota; Metazoa; Chordata; Mammalia; Primates; Aotidae
Description: Metazoan signal recognition particle RNA (ENSANAG00000004824.1)
Rfam family: Metazoan signal recognition particle RNA
About the family: The signal recognition particle (SRP) is a universally conserved ribonucleoprotein. It is involved in the co-translational targeting of proteins to membranes.
Source: RNAcentral
GCCGGGCGUGGUGGUGCAUGCCUAUGGUCCCAGCUACUUGGGAGGCUGAGGUGGGAGGAUCACUUGAGCCCAGGCAUUCUGGGCUGUAGUGUGCUAUGCCAAUCGGGUGUCCGCACUAAGUUCGACAUCAAUAUGGUGACCUCCCGGGAGUGGGGGACCACCAAGUUGCCUAAGGAGGGGUGAACCGGCCCAGGUCAGAAACAGAGCAGGUCAAAACUCCCAUGUUGAUCAGUAGAGGGAUUGCGCCUGUGGAUCUGUGAGUAGCCACUGCACUCCAGCCUGGGCAACAUAGUGAGACACCGUCUCU